GAUGAAGAACGCAGCGAAAUGCGAUACGUAAUGUGAAUUGCAGAAUUCAGUGAAUCAUCGAGUCUUUGAACGCACAUUGCGCCCCCUGGUAUUCCGGGGGGCAUGCCUGUCCGAGCGUCAUUGCUGCCCUCAAGCACGGCUUGUGUGUUGGGCCUCCGUCCUCCUCCCGGGGGACGGGCCCGGAAGGCAGCGGCGGCACCGCGUCCGGUCCUCGAGCGUAUGGGGCUUCGUCACCCGCUCUUGUAGGCCCGGUCGGCGCUUGCCGACACAUCAAUCUUUUUUCCAGGUUGACCUCGGAUCAGGUAGGGAUACCCGCUGAACUUAAGCAUAUCAAUAAGCGGAGGA
RNAcentral lists this unclassified non-coding RNA (345 nucleotides) under soil metagenome. RNAcentral's name for it is "partial contains 5.8S ribosomal RNA, internal transcribed spacer 2, and large subunit ribosomal RNA". The stretch from base 1 to 120 matches the Rfam family "5.8S ribosomal RNA", at positions 35 to 154 of the family's 154-position model. The record is from RNAcentral.